CCAGUCGUCGGCUUCCCAUAAUGUUGAAUAAACUCCCAUGGGUUGGAAUUUGGGGAAUGGGAUUCCUUUUGCUUCGUUGUUCUUGUACACUCUAAUUGGUACUGCGUCUACGUAGAAUCUUCAAUAGUACAAACAGUUAAGUAUUAUUUAUUGUGAUUUUUAAUUAAAAGAUCGAUGGAAGAAUAAUUGUUAAGUAGUACUAUAUGUCUGCUUACACAGUGUGAUGGUGGUUCCAAAGUAUGGUGUAGGUAUGAAAAUCAGCGGAUGGAUCGAACCAAAGGUUGAUCCUUUGUUCCUUGUCACCCUUUCCAUGGACAUAAACAUUCGUUUGGACAGUGUACGGCUGGCCUGACCUGUUUCCCAAGAACUCGAAGUCUAGCUCGUCCCUUACAUUAUCUGUGUCCGAGUUCAUCUACAAAUGAUAAUGUCACAUGCAAUAAUUAAUUUCCGCGAGCUUUAACUUCUUUGCACUGGUAGAGUAUAAUUAUUUUACGUAUUAUAACUGCUUACAAUGAUGAGUAACUGUCUAUAGUGAUUCUAACUUAGUAACAUGAAAAUGCAAUGCUUUGACUGAUUAGAAACCAUAGUUAAAUAUUUUACACUGAAAUUUAUAUAAUUAAAUUCUGUUCUUAUUUAGAUUAAACCUCUUUCUUUUACUUUUCCAGGAAAUGAAAUCUUGGGGUAAAUUGUGACGCCCCAAGUAAAUCUCUCAUUAACAAAAAUAUGAGAGAGAUAAUGGGUUAAAGUCGUGUAAGCUUGAGCCCAAAGCGUACAAUAUCAUUAGUGGGCUGAGCUGUUAUAUAAACUAAG
RNAcentral lists this long non-coding RNA (810 nucleotides) under Nicotiana tabacum (common tobacco). Its description in RNAcentral is "long non-coding RNA (NTAB_LNC010111)". Lineage: Eukaryota; Viridiplantae; Streptophyta; Magnoliopsida; Solanales; Solanaceae. The record is from RNAcentral.